AGUCAACGGGAAUGCAGUAACCGUUGGUAACAGAACAAUGAGCUGCGCGCCAAGCCAAGUCUCUUGGUGUCACAGGCGGGAGCGGCAGGAUUAAUCACCGCUACCGCUGCCGCUGGCCACCCCUGUGUGCUGAUGUCCUGGGACCCGAUCCCCGUACCCCGUGCUUUCCGAUGCUGGAGCCUACGGAGGGCGUCCGAAACGGCCCUACAGAGCAGUCGCCGGGCAGUUGAAGAUCAGCUAAAGAUAUGUGGCCACAAGAGGGAUGAUGAUGUCUUUGAACUGUUCCUUUCUAAAAAGGAACUGACAGAGGUCAUUGAUCUUUCCAGGUUUAAAAAAUUAAAAUACUUAUGGCUUCAUCAUAACAAGCUCCAUGGAAUAACAUUUCUAACUAGAAACUAUUGUCUGACAGAACUGUAUCUAAACAACAAUGCAGUAUUUGAGAUAGAAGGCCUGCAUUAUUUGCCUUCAUUGCAUAUACUCCUGCUACACCACAAUGAGUUAACCAACCUUGAUGCGACAGUGAAGGAAUUAAAGGGAAUGCUAAAUCUGAAGAUCCUAAGUCUAUACCAAAACCCUUUGUGCCAAUAUAACCUGUAUCGUUUAUAUACCAUCUACCACCUUCCAGGAGUGGAGCUGCUUGACCGAAAACAAGUUACAGAAAAAGAAAGAAGAUCAAUGAUUACCAUUUUUAACCAUAAAAAGGCUCAUGUUGUUCAAUCAAUAGCAUUCGGAGGAAAAGUAGAUGCUUCAUGGGAUCCUAAAUCACCAUUUAAGCAAAAACCAGCCCAGAGAGUACCUUCAGAUUUUGCAUUUGCAAAUAAUGUAGACAAAACUGUGUUUGACGACCCAGAAGAUGCUGUUUUUGUCAGGUCCAUGAAGAGAUCAGUGAUGACUUUUUCCUGUAUGAACUGGGACACAGUUCCAACACGAGAGGAAAGAUACCUUGAAGAGGAAGGCCCAGAACCUGCUCAGAUGCUCACAGUUACACUGAGAUAAGCCCUGUCUUCCACACCACUGUGGAAGAAUCAUUUUGAUCAGUCUCAUUGAAAGACAACCUACAAAGAGAAUAAAACACCUAGGAAUACAACUAACAAGGAAUGUAAGGGACCUCUUCAAGGAGAACUACAAAUCACUGCUCAACAAAAUAAGAGAGGACACAAACAGAUGGAGAAACAUUCUGUGCUCAUGGUUAGGAAGAAUCAAUAUCGUGAAAAUGGUCAUACUGCCCAAAGUAAUUUACAGAUUCCAUGCUAUCCCCAUCAAGCUACCAAUGACCUUCUUCACCGAACUGGAAAAAAACCACCUUAAACUUCAUAUGGAACCAAAAGAGAGCCUGCAUAGCCAAGUCAAUUCUAAACAAAAAGAACAAAGCCGGAGGCAUCACACUACCAAACUUCAAAUUAUACUACAAGGCUACAGUAAUCAAAACAGCAUGGUACUGGUACCAAAACAGAGAUAUAGACCAAUGGAACAGAACAGAGGCCUCAGAGGCAAUGCAACAUAUCUACAACCAUCUGGUCUUUGACAAACCUGACAAAAACAAGCAAUGGGGAAAGGAGUCCCGGUUUAAUAAAUGGUGUUGGGAAAACUGGCUAGCCAAGUGCAGAAAGCAGAAACUGGACCCUUUCCUGACACCUUAUACUAAAAUUAACUCCAGAUGGAUUAAAGACUUAAACAUAAGGCCUAACACCAUAAAAACCCUAGAAGAAAAUCUAGGCAAAACCAUUCAGGACAUAGGAGUAGGCAAGGACUUCAUGAACAAAACACCAAAAGCAUUGGCAGCAAAAGCCAAAAUAGACAAAUGGGACCUAAUCAAACUCCACAGCUUCUGCACAGCAAAAGAAACAGUUAUUAGAGUGAAUCGGCAACCAACAGAAUGGGAAAAAAUUUUUUGCAGUCUACCCAUCUGACAAACAGCUGAUAUACAGAAUUUACAAAGAACUAAAACAAAUUUACAAGAAAAAAAAACAAGCCCAUUCAAAAGAGGGCAAAGGAUAUGAACAGACACUUUACAAAAGAAGACAUACAUGAGGCCAACAAACAUAUGAAAAAAUGCUCAUCAUCACUGGUCAUUAGUGAAAUGCAAAUCAAAACUACAUUGAGAUACCAUUUCAUGCCAGUUAGAAUGGCGAUCAUUAAAAAAUCUGGAGACAACAGAUGCUGGAGAGGAUGUGGAGAAAUAGGAACACUUUUACACUGCUGGUGGGAGUGUAAAUUAGUUCAACCAUUGUGGAAGACAGUGUGGCAAUUCCUCAAGGACCUAGAAAUAGAAAUUCCAUUUGACCCAGCAAUCCCAUUACUGGGUAUAUAUCCAAAGAACUAUAAAUUGUUCUACUAUAAGGGCACAUGCACACGAAUGUUCGUUGCAGCACAGUUUACAAUAGCAAAGACCCAGAACCAACCCAAAUGCCCAUUGAUGAUAGACUGGACAGGGAAAAUGUGGCACAUAUAUACCAUGGAAUAUUAUGCAGCCACCAAAAACAAUGAGUUCAUGUCCUUUGUAGGGACAUGGAUGAACCUGGAGACCAUCAUUCUCAGCAAACUGACACAAGAACAGAAAAUCAAACACCGCAUGUUCUCACUUACAGCUGAAGUCAAUGUUUCGGAAGAGAACGAGGAUGACAUCCCCUGGCUUCAACACCGUGGUGUCCACGAUGUCCUCCCAACGACGGCCCCCUGCUG
Callithrix jacchus (white-tufted-ear marmoset) is the source of this 2682-nucleotide non-coding RNA. Lineage: Eukaryota; Metazoa; Chordata; Mammalia; Primates; Cebidae. The record is from RefSeq and is a predicted model, not a curated record.